GACACGAGUGGAGUGGAUGCUUUUACACAUGUUUGGUCUCGGGAUGUGAACUGGGUUGUACCACCACCGAAGUUGAUACCGGAGGUGGUUCGGAAAAUCGAAAGAGAAAAAUGCAAAUGCACUUUAGUAGUGCCGGAGUGGACAUCCGCUCCAUUUUGACCAAUGUUAAUUCAGAAUGAAGGGAAUUUUCAGUAUUAUAUAAAAAAUUAUUCUCGGGUAAAAAAUAUUCACUGCAUUUGCAGAGGCAAAGGAGAUAGCGGAAUGUUUGAAAAACGGGGAGUGCUAUUUAACAUGUUAUUCAUACAUAUAGAAUUUUAAUUUGGUGAAUUGUUUUCAGGUUUAGGAUUACAGGACAAACUAUGAAAAUUGUCGCAUGACAACGAUGUUCAACCUGGCAGCUAUCUUGAGGAUCUAUGUCCACAGCUGGGUGUCCUAAUACUUUCCAGUAAAAGCGACAUCACUAACAAGAACUAUUUCAACGCUUUCACAAGAUAGGAGAAAUUCAUAAAGUUACAAGGACAGUGCCUUGCCGACAUAUUCUUUUCACGAGGCGUUAUAUUUAAUUCAUUUAUUGAAUAAUGGUGCUUCUAUUCAUACUGUAAGUGCUGCGGUGUACGCUAUCAAAUGGGCGGAUGACUCUGUAGGUUUACCAGAUCCAACCAAAAACUCGUAUGUAACUUCGAUAUUAGAGGCUGCAAGGAGAAAAGCGCAUCGACCCGUACAGAAAAAGGAGCCCAUCACAGAGAACAGUAUAACCUGUUCGGAAAACUACAGCAACUGGAAAUACUGUAUCCCUAACAACAAAUAUCUAUACAUAAUUUACAAGACACGUGGGCUUGGAUUGUUUGCACGGUUUGUCAGAUUUAAGCUGAAGAUCACAACAAGAAAAGUAUUUGAUUAAACCUAAAGAACAAUGAAGAACAAAGAGGGGGUAAUGGAACUAUGAAAAAGACAACAAAGAACCAAAAUAGAUCAAAUAAGAUGAGGAAAGGGGGUACCGAUUCAACAAGAAAAA
Long non-coding RNA from Ostrea edulis (European flat oyster), 1015 nucleotides. RefSeq lists it as uncharacterized. The transcript is spliced from 3 exons. NCBI's taxonomy places the organism in Eukaryota, Metazoa, Mollusca, Bivalvia, Ostreida, Ostreidae. The record is from RefSeq and is a predicted model, not a curated record.